This 307-nucleotide ribosomal RNA is filed under the name uncultured fungus. RNAcentral's name for it is "eukaryotic LSU rRNA". The stretch from base 1 to 113 matches the Rfam family "5.8S ribosomal RNA", at positions 42 to 154 of the family's 154-position model. The record is from RNAcentral. Lineage: Eukaryota; Fungi.
AACGCAGCGAAGGGCGAUAAGUAAUGUGAAUUGCAGAAUUCAGUGAAUCAUCGAAUCUUUGAACGCACAUUGCGCCCGCCAGUAUUCUGGCGGGCAUGCCUGUUCGAGCGUCAUUUCAACCCUCAAGCCCAGCUUGGUGUUGGGACUCGCGAGUCAAAUCGCGUUCCCCAAAUUGAUUGGCGGUCACGUCGAGCUUCCAUAGCGUAGUAGUAAAACCCUCGUUACUGGUAAUCGUCGCGGCCACGCCGUUAAACCCCAACUUCUGAAUGUUGACCUCGGAUCAGGUAGGAGUACCCGCUGAACUUAA